Molecule: long non-coding RNA, 270 nt
Organism: Patella vulgata (common limpet)
Lineage: Eukaryota; Metazoa; Mollusca; Gastropoda; Patellidae
Exons: 3
Source: RefSeq, a predicted model, not a curated record
CGUCAUUAAAUGUUUUGGUUUUCAGCACGACAGCUGAGAGAAGAGCAGACAGCUUGUUCAAAAAACUACAGGGUUUCUCUGAAAGAUUCAGUCGCCCGAUUGCUGAAUUGCAAAUUGCAUUUAACUGAGUAUAUUAGAAUGGGUCGAGUAUUUUUACAUCAUAUUGGUGGAACAAGGUUGUUCUCAUGUGCCAGCUGUGACACACCUCUAACCAACAGAGCUGAGUUGAUAUCCACCAGAUUCACAGGUGCAACUGGAAGAGCCUUUCUA